Molecule: long non-coding RNA, 1136 nt
Organism: Petromyzon marinus (sea lamprey)
Lineage: Eukaryota; Metazoa; Chordata; Hyperoartia; Petromyzontiformes; Petromyzontidae
Source: RefSeq, a predicted model, not a curated record
GGGCGGGCGGGCGGGCGAGCGGGCGGGCAGUUUCAGGGGCUGCGCCUUCACCUUCUUCAUCGCACGGAGGUGCGUGACGUCAUUUAUGGACGGCCCCACAUCCACCGACCGACAUCUCAUCCCGCUCGUUCCGACUGCCCUUCCAGCCCGGCGCGUGAGAUGGGAUCAGCUCAAAUGUCCAAAUGGCUUGUGGAAUCGCAAAGUUACGCGGAUGGCAAGUGUGAGUAGACCAUUGUUUGGCAGUGGAUUUAUCAUUUUCUUUAUCAAUAAAAUGUUCCUGGCGAGAUCACUGUCUCGGCCUACUCAAUAGAAGUGAGUGCCUCCUAUUGAGCAUUGUUGAUGUUUCCACAGAAACAACAAAUCUUUUUUUUCUUAUUGGAGAACAGAACGCAUAUACCGUCAUGGAAAUUAAGCAAUGAAUCCAACAUUUUUUACCGCUCGUUUUGUCACUUUUAUUAUGAAAGAAGUUACAAGAUUUUUUUUAGCGUAAAAUUUCAAUUUUCCUCGUCCAUUUCCUCAGCUGGUGCCGACACUCAUCGAUGCCUUAAUCCCAUCUCGACUUGGAUGAUUGCAUUUCCUCUGCAGCCUCCCCAAUUCCCUCCUCUCCAAACUCCGUAUCUAAAAUGCCACUGCAAGACUUUUUAACCCCACCCAUAAACCAGACCAUAUCGCUCAUGCUCCGUUCACAUUCCAUCAAAUCCUGGAACAAUGUUCAGAAGUGCAGUCUUGAAGAUCCCCCAUGCACUCAUCCAUUACCCAUUAGUAAUUUUGGUGAACCAGGUCACGCUUGCAAAUAAGACUAUCGCUGUCUCUUGAGUUCCCACCUGAUUAAAGAAAAUUUACUUUACGCUAAUUACCGUACCUCUGCCUUCUCAUCCCACUCUACACCCCUCAACGCACGUGCUGUUUCAGUAAUAAACGCAUUCGGUCGAAGUUCCUGGUCAACGUUCACUCAGUGGGAGGUUGCUCGUUCUCUUUCAAUGUCCCCAUCAUAGUCUGGAACUCCCUUGCCACGAGCAAUCUGUGCUGUGGACUCCCUGCGCCUAUUCAAGUCCUUCCUCAAGACCUUUUUUUUCCUUUGACUUCCUCUCUCCAUAAUUAAAUAUGCCCACUGCGAGAAACAGUGGAAGAUGAAU